UCCGUAAGGAUUAUACGAUAGUGGCGAACGGCUGAGUAACGCGUAAGUAACCUACCUCUAAGUGGGGAAUAACUUACCGAAAGGUAAGCUAAUACCGCAUGUGGUGGCGGAUGUUAAUUUGUCAGUAAAGCCUUCGGGCGCUUAGAGAAGGGCUUGCGUCUGAUUAGUUUGUUGGUGGGGUAAUGGCCUACCAAGGCGAUGAUCAGUAGCUGGUCUGAGAGGAUGACCAGCCAGAUAGGGACUGAGACACGGCCCUGACUCCUACGGGAGGCAGCAGCAAGGAAUCUUGCGCAAUGGGCGAAAGCCUGACGCAGCGACGCCGCGUGGGGGAUGAAUGCUUUCGAGUUGUAAACCCCUUUUCCUGAGGAAGAAUAAUGACGAUACUCAGGGAAUAAGUCUUGGCUAACUACGUGCCAGCAGCCGCGGUAAUACGUAGAAGGCAAACGUUAUUCGGAUUUACUGGGCGUAAAGCGGGUGUAGACGGCUUUUUAAGUCGAUUGUGAAAUCUCCAGACUCAAUUUGGAGGGGACAGUCGAAACUAAGAGGCUAGAGGGCGACAGAGGAAGGCGGAAUUCCCGGUGUAGCGGUGAAAUGCGUAGAUAUCGGGAGGAACACCAGUGGCGAAGGCGGCCUUCUGGGUCGCACCUGACGUUGAGACCCAAAAGCGUGGGGAGCAAAACGGAUUAGAUACCCGUGUAGUCCACGCCCUAAACGUUGGACACUAGGUAUGGGGGGUAUCGACCCUCUCUGUGCCGAAGCUAACGCUUUAAGUGUCCCGCCUGGGGACUACGGCCGCAAGGUUAAAACUCAAAGAAUUGACGGGGGCCCGCACAAGCAGCGGAGCGUGUGGUUUAAUUCGAUGCUACGCGAAGAACCUUACCAAGGCUUGACAUGCUAGUAGUAGAAACCCGAAAGGGAGACGACCUGUAUCCAGUCAGGAACUAGUACAGGUGCUGCAUGGUUGUCGUCAGCUCGUGCCGUGAGGUGUUAGGUUAAGUCCUGCAACGAGCGCAACCCUUGUCGUUAGUUAAUAUCUCUAGCGAGACUGCCCGUACAACGAGGAGGAAGGUGAGGAUGACGUCAAAUCAGCAUGGCCCUUACGCCUUGGGCUACACACACGCUACAAUGGGUGAUACAAUGGGUUGCUAACGAGCGAUCUGGAGCUAAUCCCAAAAAUCAUCCUCAGUUCGGAUUGCAGGCUGAAACUGCCUGCAUGAAGGCGGAGUUGCUAGUAACCGCAGGUCAGCACACUGCGGUGAAUACGUUCUCGGGCCUUGUACACACCGCCCGUCACGUCAUGGGAGUCGGUAACACCUGAAGUCGAUGGACUAACCUUCGGGGAGUAGUCGCCGAGGGUGGGACCGGUAACUGGGACGAAGUCGUAACAAGGUA
RNAcentral lists this ribosomal RNA (1392 nucleotides) under metagenome. RNAcentral's name for it is "bacterial SSU rRNA". It matches the Rfam family "Bacterial small subunit ribosomal RNA". The record is from RNAcentral.